Molecule: transfer RNA, 71 nt
Filed under: Psilopogon haemacephalus (coppersmith barbet)
Lineage: Eukaryota; Metazoa; Chordata; Aves; Piciformes; Megalaimidae
Description: tRNA-Val
Rfam family: tRNA
About the family: Transfer RNA (tRNA) molecules are approximately 80 nucleotides in length. Their secondary structure includes four short double-helical elements and three loops (D, anti-codon, and T loops).
Source: RNAcentral
CAAAACGUAGCUAAACAUAAAGCAUUCAGCUUACACCUGAAAGAUACCUGCUCACAUCCAGGUCGUUUUGA